Molecule: ribosomal RNA, 367 nt
Filed under: uncultured organism
Description: bacterial LSU rRNA
Rfam family: Bacterial large subunit ribosomal RNA
Source: RNAcentral
CUUGACUGUAUCCUGGAAUUGGGUUCGGGCUUUUCUUGCGCAGCCUAGGUGGGAGGCUAUGAAGAUUUCCUUCCGGGGAAGUUGGAGCCAUCAGUGAGAGACCACUCUGGAGAGGCUAGAAUCCUAAUGGUGAUCCUUGAAUCAGGACACUUGACAGUUUCAGGUGGCAGUUUUUCUGGGGCGGAAGCCUCAUAAAGGGUAACUGAGGCGCGCAAAGGUCCCCUCAGUCUGGACGGAAAUCAGACAACGAGUGUAAAGGCAAAAGGGGGCUUGACUGCAGGACCUACAAGUCGAGCAGGAGCGAAAGCUGGCCUUAGUGAUCCGACGGUACCGUGUGGAAGGGCCGUCGCUCAACGAAUAAAAGUUG